This 132-nucleotide small RNA is filed under the name uncultured Enterocloster sp. Its description in RNAcentral is "Ribosomal protein L10 leader". It matches the Rfam family "Ribosomal protein L10 leader", at positions 10 to 129 of the family's 138-position model. From Rfam's summary of the family: This family is a putative r-protein leader autoregulatory structure found in B. subtilis and other low-GC Gram-positive bacteria. It is located in the 5' untranslated regions of mRNAs encoding ribosomal proteins L10 and L12 (rplJ-rplL). The record is from RNAcentral. Lineage: Bacteria; Bacillati; Bacillota; Clostridia; Lachnospirales; Lachnospiraceae.
GUAUUGAAUGCCUAAGACAGCAGGUGCCGCAAGGCGUAAGGCGUAACCGCCUGCCGAGGAACGUACAAAACUCAAGCUUUUUUGUGAUGAGAUUUUGCAGACCUCUCUGUCUUUAUGGCGGAGAGGUUUUUU